This 67-nucleotide transfer RNA is filed under the name Blepharipa sp. CMERI-Uzi-001. Its description in RNAcentral is "tRNA-Gly". The record is from RNAcentral. Lineage: Eukaryota; Metazoa; Arthropoda; Insecta; Diptera; Tachinidae.
AUCUAUAUAAUAUAAAAACAGUAUAUUUGACUUCCAAUCAUAAAGCCUAUCAAUGAUAGUAUAGAUA